UACGUAGGGUGCGAGCGUUGUCCGGAAUUAUUGGGCGUAAAGGGCUCGUAGGCGGUCUGUUGCGUCGGUAGUGAAAACUCAGGGCUUAACCCUGAGCCUGCUUCCGAUACGGGCAGACUAGAGGUAUGCAGGGGAGAACGGAAUUCCUGGUGUAGCGGUGAAAUGCGCAGAUAUCAGGAGGAACACCGGUGGCGAAGGCGGUUCUCUGGUCCAUGUCUGACGCUGAGGUACGAAAGCCAGGGGAGCAAACGGG
RNAcentral lists this ribosomal RNA (253 nucleotides) under uncultured bacterium. Its description in RNAcentral is "partial 16S ribosomal RNA". It matches the Rfam family "Bacterial small subunit ribosomal RNA", at positions 524 to 776 of the family's 1533-position model. The record is from RNAcentral.